RNAcentral lists this ribosomal RNA (253 nucleotides) under uncultured bacterium. Its description in RNAcentral is "partial 16S ribosomal RNA". It matches the Rfam family "Bacterial small subunit ribosomal RNA", at positions 524 to 776 of the family's 1533-position model. The record is from RNAcentral.
UACGAAGGGAGCUAGCGUUGUUCGGAAUCACUGGGCGUAAAGCGCACGUAGGCGGCUUUCUAAGUCAGGGGUGAAAUCCUGAGGCUCAACUUCAGAACUGCCUUUGAUACUGGAGAUCUUGAGUCCGGGAGAGGUGAGUGGAACUGCGAGUGUAGAGGUGAAAUUCGUAGAUAUUCGUAAGAACACCAGUGGCGAAGGCGGCUCACUGGCCCGAUACUGACGCUGAGGUGCGAAAGCGUGGGGAGCAAACAGG